UGCACAAUGGAGGAAACUCUGAUGCAGCGAUGCCGCGUGAGUGAAGAAGGCCUUUGGGUUGUAAAGCUCUUUUGUAGGGGAAGAUAAUGACUGUACCCUAAGAAUAAGGUCCGGCUAACUUCGUGCCAGCAGCCGCGGUAAUACGAAGGGACCUAGCGUAGUUCGGAAUUACUGGGCGUAAAGCGCGCGUAGGCCGUUGAGUUAGUUAAUUGUGAAAUCCCAAAGCUUAACUUUGGAACUGCAAUUAAAACUGCUCGACUAGAGUUUGAUAGAGGAAAGCGGAAUACAUAGUGUAGAGGUGAAAUUCGUAGAUAUUAUGUAGAACACCAGUUGCGAAGGCGGCUUUCUGGAUCAACACUGACGCUGAGGCGCGAAAGUAUGGGUAGCAAAGAGGAUUAGAUACCCUCGUAGUCCAUACCAUAAACGAUGAUUGCUAGAUGUUGGAAAUUUAUUUUCAGUAUCGCAGCUAACGCAUUAAGCAAGCCGCC
RNAcentral lists this ribosomal RNA (488 nucleotides) under uncultured bacterium. Its description in RNAcentral is "bacterial SSU rRNA". It matches the Rfam family "Bacterial small subunit ribosomal RNA", at positions 365 to 873 of the family's 1533-position model. The record is from RNAcentral.